UACGGCGGGAGCUAGCGUUGUUCGGAAUUACUGGGCGUAAAGCGCGCGUAGGCGGCUUUGUAAGUUAGAGGUGAAAGCCUGGAGCUCAACUUCAGAAUUGCCUUUAAGACUGCAUCGCUUGAAUCCGGGAGAGGUGAGUGGAAUUCCGAGUGUAGAGGUGAAAUUCGUAGAUAUUCGGAAGAACACCAGUGGCGAAGGCGGCUCACUGGACCGGCAUUGACGCUGAGACGCGAAAGCGUGGGGAGCGAACAGG
This 253-nucleotide ribosomal RNA is filed under the name uncultured bacterium. Its description in RNAcentral is "partial 16S ribosomal RNA". It matches the Rfam family "Bacterial small subunit ribosomal RNA", at positions 524 to 776 of the family's 1533-position model. The record is from RNAcentral.